CACGUAGCUAGCCGGUGCUUCUUUACCCAUUACCGUCACUCACGCUUCGUCACAGGCGAAAGCGGUUUACAACCCGAAGGCCGUCAUCCCGCACGCGGCGUUGCUGCAUCAGGCUUCCGCCCAUUGUGCAAUAUUCCCCACUGCUGCCUCCCGUAGGAGUCUGGGCCGUAUCUCAGUCCCAAUGUGGCCGGUCACCCUCUCAGGCCGGCUACCCGUCAAAGCCUUGGUAAGCCACUACCCCACCAACAAGCUGAUAAGCCGCGAGUCCAUCCCCAACCGCCGAAACUUUCCAACCCCCACCAUGCAGCAGGAGCUCCUAUCCGGUAUUAGCCCCAGUUUCCUGAAGUUAUCCCAAAGUCAAGGGCAGGUUACUCACGUGUUACUCACCCGUUCGCCACUCGAGCACCCCACAAAAGCAGGGCCUUUCCGUUCGACUUGCAUGUGUUAAGCACGCCGCCAGCGUUCGUCCUGAGCCAGGAUCAAACUCU
This 488-nucleotide ribosomal RNA is filed under the name uncultured Propionibacterium sp. RNAcentral's name for it is "partial 16S ribosomal RNA". Lineage: Bacteria; Bacillati; Actinomycetota; Actinomycetes; Propionibacteriales; Propionibacteriaceae. The record is from RNAcentral.